ACGGAAGGCAGCAGUGGGGAAUAUUGGGCAAUGGGCGCAAGCCUGACCCAGCGACGCCGCGUGAGGGAAGAAGGUCUUCGGAUUGUAAACCUUAGUUAUCGGGGACGAAGAAAGUGACGGUACCCGAAGAGAAAGCCACGGCUAACUACGUGCCAGCAGCCGCGGUAAUACGUAGGUGGCGAGCGUUAUCCGGAUUUACUGGGUGUAAAGGGUGUGUAGGCGGGGAUUCAAGUCAGAUGUGAAAACUAUGGGCUUAACUCAUAGCCUGCAUUUGAAACUGAUUUUCUUGAGUGUCGGAGAGGUAAAUGGAAUUCCCAGUGUAGCGGUGAAAUGCGUAGAUAUUGGGAGGAACACCAGUGGCGAAGGCGGUUUACUGGACGACAACUGACGCUGAGACGCGAAAGCGUGGGGAGCAAACAGGAUUAGAUACCCUGGUA
This is a ribosomal RNA of 437 nucleotides. It matches the Rfam family "Bacterial small subunit ribosomal RNA", at positions 341 to 792 of the family's 1533-position model.